Molecule: long non-coding RNA, 3618 nt
Filed under: Strigops habroptila (Kakapo)
Lineage: Eukaryota; Metazoa; Chordata; Aves; Psittaciformes; Psittacidae
Description: lncRNA (ENSSHBG00005020268.1)
Source: RNAcentral
GAAAUUUAUGACUCUUGCUUAUUACUUUCCUUUAUUUUUCUUUUAAGAUAUAUAUAUAUUUAGAUAGAACGUGCUAAAAACAGAGCAAAUAAACCAAAAUCUAAUUUAAGAUGGAUUCCUGGCAAACAUUUUGUCUAUCUAAAACUUUGUUUUAAGCAUAAAAGUACCAUUUUAAAAACAGUGCCUUUCAUUAAGGAUGUAGAAAGUAAGACGUAAGUACAUCACCUGCUUUGCUUUUCUUUUUUUUUGCCUUUUUUUUUUUUCUUUUUUCUUUUCAACAGCAAUUACAGUCUAUGAUCCUUGUUAUGAUCCAGUCUUUCUGCUUCCCAAAUCUCCACAGGCUGCUUCUUCACCCAGGUCAUUCCACCAUCCUCAUAUUUGGGAGAUCCUGAUGUCCCCAUUAGCUGUAGGCUCAUGCUGAUCACACUGGCAAGUAUGCUGCUGCAGAUUGCUGACCCAAUUUCUGUCUUAGGCAUUGCCUUUCAUAUCUGCAUUGAGCUGUGCUCAUUUGAAAGGCUUGGGCAAGUUUUGAUAAACCAACUCUUGUUCACUGUUUCUCCUAACCGUACUCCUAACAGACUUUUUUGCAGCUAGUAAAAUGAAACCUACCCACUAGAGUGUUUUUUUCCCCUCUUUUUAUCCAGUAGCAAACCCAAAAGCAAGCAAAAUUGUAGAUGGUCCCUUUGGCUUCCAGCUUUAAAGCAUUGUCUUUAAAAAAGUCACUCUGGGAAAUGGAUUUCUCAAAUGUUAACCAAAGUGAGAAGCUGGCAGAAACUGAGAUGGUGUGAAAAUGCAUGUUCCACACGCACGCACACACUCACGCUCAUUCUCUCCAGGGCUCGAUCCUGCUUUGGGGCAGGAGAAGCAGAAAGCUUCACCCCUAUCGCGGCAACUAUAAGGAGAGGAAAACAAAGCCGUAUUGUUAACCAAAUCUUUCCUUAUCAACAGCCAUCUUGGAAUUGCUGUGCGAGGGUGCCUGUUGAAUUUAGUGAGAGCUUGGCCUGGUAGUGUUAACAGGACAUGUCUCAGCCCUUCUCCAAGUCCUUUGAUGUAAUUUCCACCAGUCCGGGAGGAGCUGAGCGGGCUGAAGCCCCUGCCAUGUCCUGUUCUUAUUGCUUUCCUUCUUCCUCCCACAUUCAGCCCAUUUUCUCCCUAGUGAGCAGGUUUGGGCAGGCUGCUGGUCCUUCACCCCUCUCAGCAGCCUUCUUGUCAAGGAGUGUCCAGGAAAGGCUGGAACACGAUCCUGAACUUGAGCAGGUUCCAAAGGUUAGGAUUGGCUUUGAGAAGAGAGACAAAAUAUGUUCUAAUGGUGUCUUCAGGAUUAAAUGUUCGCUGGUCUUUGACAUUUCAGUGGUAGAAAGCCAUUCGCUUUGCCCAACUGACUGGGCAAAGAUGGGGCCUGCUGCCACAGAAAUGCCGAAGUGGUGGGCUGGGGCUUCCUGGCCACUGGCACAGCCCUGGCCAGGAAGCCAGGAACCUGAAAUGGCAAUGUCAAAGGAUUUUAAGGAACCUGAAAUGGUUGAAGAGCCUCUGCUAUGUCAGCCUAUCACUGCAGAUGCUUUACGUUGUAUUUUUGUGUGUGGAUCCCAUUCUGUAACAGCUCAGCUCAUUUUCUUCCUUGUACCUUCAGUAAUAAUUCCUAUGGCAACAAAAGUAAAAUAAAUUGGAGGAAUAUUUCCACAAGCUGAAGGAUCAGUAUCAGUUCAAGGAGGAGUUCAUAAUGACCUUAUGUGAAACAGAAAUGGAAAUACUCUAGACUUCUGGCAUGUUUCUCUCCAAAAUAUUUAAAACGUUAGUGACAGUAUAGAAAAGUUUGCUGACUGAGCUGAUCAAUGGAAUGUGAAGGCAGUUUACUUUAAGGCUAUUUACUUUCAUGCAGAUUAUUUAUCUAUUGGUCAGUUUGUAUUCUACUCAAAUGCAGGUAGAUGGGCAAAAUGUCUGCUUGAGCAUUACAAACCUACCAAGGGGAAAAUCAACCAUCUGACUAAAAUACAUAGGCCAAACACCAUCUGGGUGUCUUUACCAGCUAUUUGAAGGCUGUGUUCUGUAAAAUGGUACAAGGUCAUUUUAGGUGUUUUUUUAUAGGAUGUUGCUCUAGGGGAUCGUCUAGUCAUAAAGAUCCAAAUUGUAUCCUGUGUCAAGAUGUUAGUAUAUUGAAAGCAAAUUUGGGGAUCUGACCAGGGUUUUCACUGUCUGCAAAUACGUACAACUUCAGGCAAAGGGCAGUUCUUAUAAUCACCCUGCUUUUUUCUCUGAAGCACUCCAUCAUCACAAAGGAGAAUGCAUUACUCAGAUCUGAAGGAUACACUUUGUCACAAAACAAGGCCGCCAAAAGUUGUAGGGCCUCCUACCCUUUCACUUACACCAAUCUGAAGGUGGUAUAACCUUGUUGACUUAAAGGAAUUGCUCCCAGUUUCUGCCCUUGUUAGAAAAGUUAUCGCUCCAAUGUAUAAUAAUCUAUGUCUGUUGGUUUUCAUCAUCAGCUCUGAAAGCUAACCUUGUCCUCACAGCACUAACUCCUUUCCAUCUUGUAUGUGUGCAUGUGUGUAUAUAAUAUUUAUAUGUGCAUACACACCAUGUCCAAACAAUAGCUUUGUCUCUUUAUUUAAAAAAAAAAAAAAAAAGUCAUUUAAUCAUCUGCAGAUUUAUAUGAAGCACAUUAGUAAACAUGGAGAUACUAGUAUUUCAGAAUUCAAAAAAAGCCCAGCUGUGCUGGUGACUAACCAAUACAUGAACUGAAGCUCACACUCUGCAAGGACCUUUGGUUGACAUUCGAUUUUGAACCUGCCAGAUGCAUUUUUGUGAACCAGGGAUACUGCAUCUUUAAUGAACAAGUUUCUACUCUUUCCCCUGUUUUUAAAUACAACACAAGCAGUGUAGCACUAGGCACUGCAAUUGUCAAAGACAAUUAGACUGAAAGCAGGAAAAUUUCACCUCCCUGUCUCAGUGAUAUGUAGAAUGUCGGCAGUAUGGGUCAGCCUUGCCACAGAGUUGUGUGAGAAUAUAUGAAUCAGUCCUAUAGAAUGUUAAAUAUUUAUAAAAUGGUUCUGUACUACACCAAGGUUGGGAGCACAUUCAUUCCUUCUUGUUGUUUUAUAAUAGAAAAAGAAGCAAAAGUUUAUUUCCAAACCUAAACUUUGUGUGGUUCUUUUUUUCUGGUGUUUUUAUUUUUUUUUCUUUUUGUUUUGUUUUUGUUCUUGUGGUUUAUAUGCAGUUGCUAGAGGCUUUUCAUUUCCUUUUUAAAAGUAUUUUCAUCAGAUGUGCGUUCAGACGUUUGUUCUUUAAAACCAUUUCUACCUCAUUGCUACAUAUUGUACAUGUAGUAUUUAUUUGUUGUCUUUUUUUGAAUGUCAUGCAUUUCGUAAGAAAAAGACUUGUCCUUGAACUUGAACAGUCUACCUCAGAAAGACUGUCUUUACACUGAACAGUAUUAACAACCUAAACGAUAAGACGCAUUAGCGAAGUGUGGCAGGGUAGAUAAUGCGCGAGUACUUGGGAUACUGAUGGACUUUUAAUUGUACUCAUAACACAAGACUGCUUAAAGGAACUUAAAGGAAAUUAUGCACUGUGUAGGUCUUCAUCAAGGUCCCAUUUUGGCAUGCUAUAUAAAAAAAAAAA